CAGAGUGUAGUAUAACAUAGAUAAGACAUUUCCCUUACACUGAAAAGACAUCCGUGCAAACCGGAUCACCCUGA
This 74-nucleotide transfer RNA is filed under the name Trachyscorpia cristulata (Atlantic thornyhead). RNAcentral describes it as "tRNA-Val". It matches the Rfam family "tRNA". Rfam says of the family: Transfer RNA (tRNA) molecules are approximately 80 nucleotides in length. Their secondary structure includes four short double-helical elements and three loops (D, anti-codon, and T loops). The record is from RNAcentral. Lineage: Eukaryota; Metazoa; Chordata; Actinopteri; Perciformes; Sebastidae.